UGGCGGACGGGUGAGUAACGCGUGGGUAACCUGCCUUACACAGGGGGAUAACACCUGGAAACAGGUGCUAAUACCGCAUAAGCGCACAGGGCCGCAUGGCCCGGUGUGAAAAACUCCGGUGGUGUAAGAUGGACCCGCGUCUGAUUAGCUUGUUGGCGGGGUAGGGGCCCACCAAGGCGACGAUCAGUAGCCGGCCUGAGAGGGUGAACGGCCACAUUGGGACUGAGACACGGCCCAGACUCCUACGGAAGGCAGCAG
Molecule: ribosomal RNA, 258 nt
Filed under: uncultured bacterium
Lineage: Bacteria
Description: partial 16S ribosomal RNA
Rfam family: Bacterial small subunit ribosomal RNA
Source: RNAcentral